UCUUUUCCUUUUUUUCCCUCCUCCUCUUUCCCCCUUCUUUCCCCCGCGUUGUCCGGCCUUCCUGGGUGUCCCGGGCGCGCAGGCGGGAAGACAAGUUGGAAGUGAAAUCCAUGGGCUCAACCCAUGAACUGCUUUCAAAACUGUUUUUCUUGAGUAGUGCAGAGGUAGGCGGAAUUCCCGGUGUAGCGGUGGAAUGCGUAGAUAUCGGGAGGAACACCAGGGGCGAAGGCGGCCGACGGGGCACAAAAGGAAGAGGAGGAGAGAAAGGGGGGGGAGAAAACAGG
RNAcentral lists this ribosomal RNA (284 nucleotides) under Faecalibacterium prausnitzii. RNAcentral describes it as "partial 16S ribosomal RNA". It matches the Rfam family "Bacterial small subunit ribosomal RNA", at positions 47 to 776 of the family's 1533-position model. Lineage: Bacteria; Bacillati; Bacillota; Clostridia; Eubacteriales; Oscillospiraceae. The record is from RNAcentral.